RNAcentral lists this ribosomal RNA (504 nucleotides) under uncultured bacterium. Its description in RNAcentral is "partial 16S ribosomal RNA". It matches the Rfam family "Bacterial small subunit ribosomal RNA", at positions 30 to 523 of the family's 1533-position model. The record is from RNAcentral.
AUUGAACGCUGGCGGCAGGCCUAACACAUGCAAGUCGAACGGUAGCACAGAGAGCUUGCUCUCGGGUGACGAGUGGCGGACGGGUGAGUAAUGUCUGGGAAACUGCCCGAUGGAGGGGGAUAACUACUGGAAACGGUAGCUAAUACCGCAUAACGUCGCAAGACCAAAGUGGGGGACCUUCGGGCCUCACACCAUCGGAUGUGCCCAGAUGGGAUUAGCUAGUAGGUGGGGUAAUGGCUCACCUAGGCGACGAUCCCUAGCUGGUCUGAGAGGAUGCCCAGCCACACUGGAACUGAGACACGGUCCAGACUCCUACGGGAGGCAGCAGUGGGGAAUAUUGCACAAUGGGCGCAAGCCUGAUGCAGCCAUGCCGCGUGUAUGAAGAAGGCCUUCGGGUUGUAAAGUACUUUCAGCGGGGAGGAAGGCGGUGAAGUUAAUAGCUUCACCGAUUGACGUUACCCGCAGAAGAAGCACCGGCUAACUCCGUGCCAGCAGCCGCAGUAA